UGUUUUUAUUAGUAACCUUUCUUUUAUGGCUGCAUUAAAAAUGUGUCUUUUAGACACAACAAUUUCAAAUUGUAUUGUAUCUUCCUGAACAUGCCUGAAUUGUUUGCCACCGACAUUUUGCAACCUCAAAUCAAUUAAUUCAAAUUGUACUUGAAAAUCACUGUUUACUCAACAAAAAAAAUUGAAGCUGAAUGUGCAUCCUGUUAGUUGGAAAUAAAACUAAUGAUCAGUAGAAUAAAAAGGAAAUUUACAAAACCAGACAGGGGAAAUGAAAACAAAAUAACAAACAUCAUUCAGAUCCCGUUACAUAUUUUUUCAAUACCUCUCGGUCAACUUUGAAGCAAUUUAUCUAAAAAAAUAAACAAGAAUGGUGACAUGUGUCUCUAUACUUGCACGGCCUCACAAUAAAAUCCUGGAAAUUGUUAGUUUUUAAUCUUUUUCCAUGUACAUGAUAUAUAAGAGAUCGAAAUGAAUUAGUGACAAGGUUUCGAAAUAUUUUUUCCGUUACUAUGCCAUUUUGGGGAAUUUUCUGUGACUGUCAUACAAGUGAGAGGUUUGGCUAGCCAUAAAACCAGGUACAAUCCACUAUGUUCUACAUAAGAAAAUGUCUGUACCAUUUCGGAAUAUAACAGUUGUUGUUAUCCAUUUGUUUGAUUUUGCAUUUAGAUUUACUAGUAGGACUUUCCGUUUUUAGAUUUCCUUGGAAUCGUUUUUUAUUUUGUUAUUUUUCUUUUCAUUAGCACUUUUUUGAAUCUUUUGAUUAACUCAUUUAUUAAAUAAUUUUUUUCCCGCUAAAUUUUAAUAAUUUUAAUAUACAUUUUUGUCUCCUUUUUUAUCCCUUUUCUCCUUUCUCCUGCCCCUUUCUCCCGCCACUUCUCUCCCUUCUCCCGCCCCUCUCUCCCAUGCUCCCAAAACCCUGUCCAGGCCCUCAGAAAAGCAAUCCCUAUGUCUCGCUUGCAAGACAAAAACAAAGUGCUUGUAUGAAAUGAAGCCGGGUUGAGGAUUUCUUUAAUUCAUCAGUGGAAGUAAAAUAUUGCACUGUAAGGACAAAGGAGAAUAACUCCCAAAUUUUUAAGGACAUCGUUGAUAUUUUCAGAACAUAUUAGUA
RNAcentral lists this long non-coding RNA (1108 nucleotides) under Mytilus galloprovincialis (Mediterranean mussel). The record is from RNAcentral. Lineage: Eukaryota; Metazoa; Mollusca; Bivalvia; Mytilida; Mytilidae.